RNAcentral lists this long non-coding RNA (421 nucleotides) under Mytilus galloprovincialis (Mediterranean mussel). Lineage: Eukaryota; Metazoa; Mollusca; Bivalvia; Mytilida; Mytilidae. The record is from RNAcentral.
UUCCUUGCAAGGUCCUCAUGUCUGUCAGACAGUUUUCACUUGACCUCGACCUCAUUUCAUGGAUCAGUGAACAAGGUUAAGUUUUGGUGGUCAAGUCCAUAUCUCAGAUACUAUAAGCAAUAGGGCUAGUAUAUUCGGUGUAUGGAAGGACUGUAAGGUGUACAUGUCCAACUGGCAGGUGUCAUCUGACCUUGACCUCAUUUUCAUGGUUCAGUAGUUAUAGUUAAUUUUUUGUGUUUUGGUCUGUUUUUCUCAUACUUUAUGCAAUAGGUCUACUAUAUUUGUUAUAUGGAAUGAUUGUAAGGUGUACAUGUUUCGCGAGAAGAUGUCAUGUGACCUUGACCUCAUUUUCAUUGUUUAGUGGUCAAAGUUAAGUUUUUGAGUUUUGGUCUUUUUAUCUAAUACUAUAUGCCAUAGGUCU